CUCCCAAAGAUUAGCGGCGGACGGGUGAGUAACACGUGGGCAACCUGCCUGUAAGACUGGGAUAACUUCGGGAAACCGGAGCUAAUACCGGAUAAUCCCUUUCCUCACAUGAGGAAAGGCUGAAAGACGGCGUCUAGCUGUCACUUACAGAUGGGCCCGCGGCGCAUUAGCUAGUUGGUGAGGUAACGGCUCACCAAGGCCACGAUGCGUAGCCGACCUGAGAGGGUGAUCGGCCACACUGGGACUGAGACACGGCCCAAACUCCUACGGGAGGCAGCAGUAGGGAAUCUUCCGCAAUGGACGAAAGUCUGACGGAGCAACGCCGCGUGAGUGAUGAAGGUUUUCGGAUCGUAAAACUCUGUUGUUAGGGAAGAACAAGUAUCGGAGUAACUGCCGGUACCUUGACGGUACCUAACCAGAAAGCCACGGCUAACUACGUGCCAGCAGCCGCGGUAAUACGUAGGUGGCAAGCGUUGUCCGGAAUUAUUGGGCGUAAAGCGCGCGCAGGUGGUUCCUUAAGUCUGAUGUGAAAGCCCACGGCUCAACCGUGGAGGGUCAUUGGAAACUGGGGAACUUGAGUGCAGAAGAGGAAAGUGGAAUU
This 601-nucleotide ribosomal RNA is filed under the name Cytobacillus horneckiae. RNAcentral describes it as "bacterial SSU rRNA". It matches the Rfam family "Bacterial small subunit ribosomal RNA", at positions 82 to 668 of the family's 1533-position model. The record is from RNAcentral. Lineage: Bacteria; Bacillati; Bacillota; Bacilli; Caryophanales; Bacillaceae.